CCCGCUGAACUUAAGCAUAUUAAUAAGCGGAGGAAAAGAAACUAACAAGGAUUCCCUCAGUAACGGCGAGUGAAGUGGGAAAAGCUCAACGUUAAAAUCUGACCGGAUUUUCUGGUCCGAAUUGUAGUUUAAAGAGGCGUCUUCGGUGACACCCGGGUAUAAAUCCCUUGGAACAGGGUAUCAUGGAGGGUGAGAAUCCCGUCUUUGACCCGGAGACUUGUUACCAUUGUGAUGCGUCCUCAAAGAGUCGAGUUGUUUGGGAAUGCAGCUCAAAAUGGGUGGUAAAUUUCAUCUAAGGCUAAAUAACGGCGAGAGACCGAUAGCGAACAAGUACCGUGAGGGAAAGAUGAAAAGAACUUUGAAAAGAGAGUCAAACAGUACGUGAAAUUGUUGAAAGGGAAACGUAUGAGAUCAGUCUUGCGUGCGGGAAAUCAGCCAUCUCUUCGGAGGUAGGUGCACUUUUCUGUACGCAAGCCAGCAUCGGUUUUGACUUGCCAGACAAAGUCCCCAGGAAGGUGGCCCGUUCUUCUGGGCGGGUCCUUACAGCCUGGGUGACGGAUACGGUGGUCGGAACCGAGGAACGCAGCUCGUCCCUUCGGGGCCCGGGAACCUCUGGGGCUCCUGGGCAGCCGUGCUUCAACUGCACGCAGGUGGAGUGCGGGUUCGCCCGGGAUUCCCCUAAAGGUCCACGCAUCGAGCUUAGGAUGCUGGCGUAAUGGUUUCAUACGACCCGUCUUGAAACACGG
Molecule: ribosomal RNA, 746 nt
Filed under: uncultured fungus
Lineage: Eukaryota; Fungi
Description: eukaryotic LSU rRNA
Rfam family: Eukaryotic large subunit ribosomal RNA
Source: RNAcentral